GUAGGGAGCGAGCGUUAUCCGGAUUCAUUGGGCGUAAAGAGCGCGUAGGCGGCCUCUCAAGCGGGAUCUCUAAUCCGAGGGCUCAACCCCCGGCCGGAUCCCGAACUGGGAGGCUCGAGUUCGGUAGAGGCAGGCGGAAUUCCCGGUGUAGCGGUGGAAUGCGCAGAUAUCGGGAAGAACACCGAUGGCGAAGACAGCCUGCUGGGCCGCAACUGACGCUGAGGCGCGAAAGCUAGGGGAGCGAACAGGAUUAGAUACCCUGGUAGUCCUAGCCGUAAACGAUGGAUACUAGGUGUGGGGGGCUCCGCCCUCCGUGCCGCAGCCAACGCAUUAAGUAUCCCGCCUGGGGAGUACGGCCGCAAGGCUAAAACUCAAAGGAAUUGACGG
RNAcentral lists this ribosomal RNA (387 nucleotides) under uncultured bacterium. RNAcentral's name for it is "bacterial SSU rRNA". It matches the Rfam family "Bacterial small subunit ribosomal RNA", at positions 527 to 916 of the family's 1533-position model. The record is from RNAcentral.